This 289-nucleotide ribosomal RNA is filed under the name uncultured bacterium. RNAcentral's name for it is "partial 16S ribosomal RNA". It matches the Rfam family "Bacterial small subunit ribosomal RNA", at positions 773 to 1060 of the family's 1533-position model. The record is from RNAcentral.
GUGGAUUAGAUACCCUGGUAGUCCACGCCCUAAACGAUGUCAACUAGGUGUUGGAGGAGCAAUCCUUUGGUACCGCAGCUAACGCGUGAAGUUGACCGCCUGGGGAGUACGGUCGCAAGAUUAAAACUCAAAGGAAUUGACGGGGACCCGCACAAGCGGUGGAUGAUGUGGAUUAAUUCGAUGCAACGCGAACAACCUUACCUACCCUUGACAUGUCCGGAAGCCUGCUGAAAGGCGGGGGUGCCCGAAAGGGAACCGGAACACAGGUGCUGCACGGCUGUCGACAGCU